UUCUGACUUCCUUUCUUUCUGAGUUUCAAGAUCUACUUCCUAAAUCUCUUUUUCUUUCUUAGAUUAACGACGACCACGGCGAAGCUGUAGGUAGAUUCAAAUCUAAUUCUGUCGUUCACUUCUCUUCCUCGUCUCAUAUUUCCCCUCUCGUGCCUCCUUUAACGACGAAAACAGCGAAGCAAAGCUUCACUGAAAACACCCACGCCUCAGAACUAUGCUCCGUUUAUGGCGGCGAUUUAGAUCCAAGCCCGACGGGAUCAUAAUGUCUCAGAUCUCAUGAGAUUUCUUAAAAUCCAUCGUUUCUAUGUGGAAAAUAGACUCUUAAUCAUGGUGAAUUGAGUCUCAGUCCCGAUUCAAGGUCAGGAAGGAGAAAGAGAGAAGGGAUAUGUCUCAGGGUUGAUGUUUGAAAAAUCCAAGGAGGUGAUUCAGAUGUUUAACAGCUCUCAAAUUGGUGGUAAAAGAGUGAAAGUUAAAAUUCCCGGAGGUGCCAAGAGGGCAAGAGAAGUAUUGAAGGGAGGUCUCGGGGAUUUGGUUUCAUCUUAUUCGAGUCAGCAGAAGAUGUUUAGUCUGCUCUUAAUGCCAUGAAUGAUCAUGAUCUGUUUAGUAGUACUUAGUGAAGGAUUCGUGUAAUUUCACUUUGUAAACCU
Eutrema salsugineum is the source of this 647-nucleotide long non-coding RNA. RefSeq lists it as uncharacterized. The record is from RefSeq and is a predicted model, not a curated record. Lineage: Eukaryota; Viridiplantae; Streptophyta; Magnoliopsida; Brassicales; Brassicaceae. The transcript is spliced from 3 exons.